RNAcentral lists this ribosomal RNA (510 nucleotides) under uncultured bacterium. RNAcentral describes it as "partial 16S ribosomal RNA". It matches the Rfam family "Bacterial small subunit ribosomal RNA", at positions 28 to 507 of the family's 1533-position model. The record is from RNAcentral.
GACGAACGCUGGCGGCGUGCUUAACACAUGCAAGUCGAACGAAGAGCGAUGGAAGCUUGCUUCUAUCAAUCUUAGUGGCGAACGGGUGAGUAACGCGUAAUCAACCUGCCCUUCAGAAGGGGACAACAGUUGGAAACGACUGCUAAUACCGCAUACGAUCUAAACUCGGCAUCGAGGAUAGAUGAAAGGUGGCCUCUACAUGUAAGCUAUCACUGAAGGAGGGGAUUGCGUCUGAUUAGCUAGUUGGAGGGGUAACGGCCCACCAAGGCGAUGAUCAGUAGCCGGUCUGAGAGGAUGAACGGCCACAUUGGGACUGAGACACGGCCCAGACUCCUACGGGAGGCAGCAGUGGGGAAUCUUCCGCAAUGGACGAAAGUCUGACGGAGCAACGCCGCGUGAGUGAUGACGGCCUUCGGGUUGUAAAGCUCGGUUAAUCGGGACGAAAGGCCUUCUUGCGAAUAGUGAGAAGGAUUGACGGUACCGGAAUAGAAAGCCACGGCUAACUACGUG